GACUAACGCUGGCGGCGUGCCUAACACAUGCAAGUCGAACGAUUCUUUGAUUUAUAGCAAUAUUUAUUAAAGAGGAGUGGCGAACGGGUGAGUAACACGUAGAUAAUCUGCCUUUCAGACGGGGACAACUCAGGGAAACUUGUGCUAAUACCCGAUGAGACCACAAGAAGGGAUUUUUGUGGCCAAAGGCGGGCAGCAAUGCUCGUGCUGAAAGAUGAGUCUGCGUCCUAUCAGCUAGUUGGUGGGGUAAAUGCCUACCAAGGCUAAGACGGGUAGCCGGCCUGAGAGGGUGAACGGCCACACUGGGACUGAGACACGGCCCAGACUCCUACGGGAGGCAGCAGUGAGGAAUUUUCCGCAAUGGGCGCAAGCCUGACGGAGCGACGCCGCGUGAGGGAUGACAGCUUUCGGGUGUAAACCUCUUUUAUUAAGGAAAAGAUCUACUAUGCUAAUAUCAUGUAGAUUUGAUGGUACUUAUUGAAUAAGCCCGCUAACUACG
Molecule: ribosomal RNA, 499 nt
Filed under: uncultured bacterium
Lineage: Bacteria
Description: bacterial SSU rRNA
Rfam family: Bacterial small subunit ribosomal RNA
Source: RNAcentral